This 451-nucleotide ribosomal RNA is filed under the name uncultured bacterium. Its description in RNAcentral is "partial 16S ribosomal RNA". It matches the Rfam family "Bacterial small subunit ribosomal RNA", at positions 29 to 523 of the family's 1533-position model. The record is from RNAcentral.
AACGAACGCUGGCGGCAGGCUUAACACAUGCAAGUCGAACGCUCGUAGCAAUACGGGAGCGGCAGACGGGUGAGUAACGCGUGGGAACGUGCCCAAAGGUACGGAAUAACUCCGGGAAACUGGAGCUAAUACCGUAUGUGCCCGAAAGGGGAAAGAUUUAUCGCCUUUGGAUCGGCCCGCGUCGGAUUAGCUAGUUGGUGGGGUAAUGGCCUACCAAGGCGACGAUCCGUAGCUGGUCUGAGAGGAUGAUCAGCCACACUGGGACUGAGACACGGCCCAGACUCCUACGGGAGGCAGCAGUGGGGAAUAUUGGACAAUGGGCGCAAGCCUGAUCCAGCCAUGCCGCGUGAGUGAUGAAGGCCUUAGGGUUGUAAAGCUCUUUCGCCAGGGACGAUAAUGACGGUACCUGGAUAAGAAGCCCCGGCUAACUUCGUGCCAGCCGCCGCCGUAA